GCUAGAACUCCACCCAGUCUGCUUCAUUUUAUAGCCCAGAGAGCUGCAAAAAUAUGGCUGAGCCAGGAUUGCCACCUCAGUUUUCUAAUUAGUCCAGGCAAUCCUUCCUCUGCAUUGUGCAGCAUCAGAUCCUUAAAGAUUCUUGAGAUAAAGUGGCACUGCCCUUUAAGGUGAGGCAGAAAUGCAUACUGUUGAAAAGCAUGGGCCCAUAUGUCAGACCCUGGGGCAAGAACCUCAGCUUCACUAACCACCAUUAAGUGAUGGGUAAGCUUCUUAACUUCUUUGUGCCUCAGUUUCCUCAUCUGUAAAAUAGGGAUAAUCACAGUGCCAUCUCAGAAGCUUGUUACCAGAAUGUUAUUAAAAUGUGUAAAGCCCCUAGAACAGUGCCUAGCUCAUGGUGUGUAUUAUUGAUAUCACAAUAUCAAUAAUUGAGUCACUCUGGUCUUUUCCUCCUAUACAUGUACCUGGAAUCAUUUUAGGUAAAAGAGAGACUCCUCAUCCAUCCUCAUAGUCCCCUAUGCCAUGAAUUAUUUCUGGAGCAUCUGUGACAGUUUCUGAUUCUGUUCCCCUAUGAGCUACUGAACACCUGGACUCAUCCUGAAAAACAAAGGAGCCUUGUGGUGACCCUCAUGGUUUCCAUCACCUUCAUUCCUCCUCUGCCCAGUCCUCUGCCUUCCAGAAGGUUGAAUGCUGCUGAUUCCAGGUGUCCAGGCCCCAACCAAAUUUGCUGAAGCUUCCAGAGAAAUCACUGCUGAACUAAACUCCGCGUGCUAAAGUGGGAAAUAAUGUUUAUCUCCUCCUUGACCUUGGUAAAUAGAUCUGUGGGUCCUGGGGGAGUGGGAGGAGGCUUCCCUGGAACACAGUUGGCGCCAGCUCAUGCGAGGUCCAUAGGACAUUAAGAGGCUAAGCACCAGCCUCUGAGGUGGCUACUCUGACCUUUGAAUGUGGUGUUGGAGGGAUGGACACCGGUCUCUAAGCUGCUUCCUGCCCUGCUCCAUGGAAUUGUCUCUAAUGGGCGAAAUGUCUAACGCUAUGCCAUUGUCUUAGGUUUUCAAAUGAUCACUAUCGCUAUCAUUAACAGCAACAUUCACAGUCCCUGAUAAGGUACCCUCUCUGUUGCCCCGGGCCAGUCUAGGCUUUUAUCCAAAAACUGAGAUUCCCACAGAGCAUCUUCUGGGGACUCUUCCCUGCGGGACCUGGACGUGCAGUCCCGCAAUUUCGGCCCGCAGGACAGGUUAAAUUACGAGAGUGACUGUGGCAGGAAUGCGGCACGAAGGCACCU
RNAcentral lists this long non-coding RNA (1282 nucleotides) under Marmota monax (woodchuck). The record is from RNAcentral. Lineage: Eukaryota; Metazoa; Chordata; Mammalia; Rodentia; Sciuridae.